AUGGCUUCCCUGGCGGCGAGAUCCGGCCUCCGCUCGCUGGCGGCGCGCGCCAGGGCCCCGGCCACGGGCGGACGCCGCAUGUCCUCCUCCGCCCACGACGACGCCUAUGAGACGGCCAAGUGGGAGAAGAUCACCAUCAUGGGGGCCGUCACCUGCACCCUCCUGGCGGCCUGGAACCUCUCCAAGGGUCACCCCCACUUCGACGAGCCGCCGGCCUACCCAUACCUGCACAUCCGCAACAAGGAGUUCCCCUGGGGACCCAAUGGCCUGUUUGAGGUCAAGCACGACCAUUGA
Molecule: ribosomal RNA, 294 nt
Filed under: Triticum aestivum (bread wheat)
Lineage: Eukaryota; Viridiplantae; Streptophyta; Magnoliopsida; Poales; Poaceae
Description: partial small subunit ribosomal RNA
Source: RNAcentral